Molecule: ribosomal RNA, 253 nt
Filed under: uncultured bacterium
Lineage: Bacteria
Description: partial 16S ribosomal RNA
Rfam family: Bacterial small subunit ribosomal RNA
Source: RNAcentral
UACGUAGGGUGCAAGCGUUGUCCGGAAUUAUUGGGCGUAAAGAGCUCGUAGGCGGUCUGUCGCGUCGGCUGUGAAAGCCCGGGGCUCAACCCCGGGAGGCGGGUGGAUACUGCUCAGCUCGAGUCCGGAAGAGGAGUGUGGAAUUCCUGGUGUAGCGGUGAAAUGCGCAGAUAUCAGGAGGAACACCAAUGGCGAAGGCAGCACUCUGGGACGGUACUGACGCUGAGGCGCGAAAGCCAGGGGAGCAAACGGG